Molecule: transfer RNA, 73 nt
Filed under: Felis catus (domestic cat)
Lineage: Eukaryota; Metazoa; Chordata; Mammalia; Carnivora; Felidae
Rfam family: tRNA
About the family: Transfer RNA (tRNA) molecules are approximately 80 nucleotides in length. Their secondary structure includes four short double-helical elements and three loops (D, anti-codon, and T loops).
Source: Rfam by way of RNAcentral
GCCUGGCUGGCUUAGUCAGUAGAGUAUGCGACUCUUAGUCUUGCGAUUGUGAGUUCAAGUCCCAUGUUAGGUA